AGCGAAAGCUAGGUUGAUGCAGCAUCGACUAUGUCGACUAAAGUUCUAGGUAGAGUUAUGAUGAUGACAUUUUCUACCUAGUGUCUUGACCAAAUCACGUGCCAGCAGUCGCGGCAAGACGUGGGAGACUAGUGUUAUUCAUCUUUAAAAGGUUUAAAGGGUACUUAGACGGUAUAUUAAGCCCCGGUACUAAUAGACUAGAGUUUUAUGGGAGAGAGUGUAGAGAUGAAAUUCUUUGAUACUGGGAACAGGCAAAGGCGAAAGCGACUCUUUAUGUAGAAACUGACGUUGAAGGACGAAGGCUUAACAGGAUUAGAUACCCUAGUAGGCUGAGCAGAAAAUGAUGAAUGUCAUAGAUGAGUUUUUUGUUUAUAAAUGAAAGUGUAAACAUUCCACCUUGAGAGUAAUGUGGCAACGCAGAAACCGAAAUCAUUAGACCGUUUCUGAAACCAGUAGUGAAGUAUGUUGUUUAAUUUGAGAUUACGCAAAAAACCUUACCACUUUGAAUAUUUUAUUAUUAAUACGGGCGUUGCACGGCUGUCUUCAGUUAAUGUCGUGAGAUUUUGGUUAAUUCCUUUAAAUUAACGUAAACCCUUACUUUAUUUUAUAAAGUAGUU
Molecule: ribosomal RNA, 617 nt
Filed under: Steinera intricata
Lineage: Eukaryota; Fungi; Ascomycota; Lecanoromycetes; Arctomiales; Arctomiaceae
Description: SSU rRNA
Rfam family: Bacterial small subunit ribosomal RNA
Source: RNAcentral